CAGAACCUGUUUCUAACUUGAAUUGGUAUGUAUACAUUACCUUAGGAUGAAGUUACUGGUGGAGGAAAUGAAGAGAAAGGCGUGGAACCUUCGCAAGAGCCUUUUCCAGUGAUAGGACCAAAUCAGGUCCAGCAAAACUGUGCUGUGAGUUUGAGUAGUACAGAUUUUGUUACUUGUUGUGAUAUUUGGAACUUUUCAAUAAAUAACUAAGAUGGUUAGCAUAUAUAGUAUCCCUCCCUACCUUAAAGCUUAAGAUUGAUGAGAACAAUGUGUUUUACAUUGCCGAUAAAAUGCAUUAAAUCUUGAGCAUGGUUAUAAUACUAACCUAUAGCUGACAAAAGUUUGCAUCCUUCAUAGGUGAUAUAGGCAAUUGAACAAUAUAUUUCACACUUAUAAGUCCACCAUCUUUGUGUUUGCAAUAUCUUUUUAACAUUUUAGGAAGAUGAAGUCACUGGACAACGGAGGGGAGGAUGGCAGUCUAAUGUGAUGCAGUUUCAAAUGCUGGAUUUUAACCGCUUCAAUAAUUAUUUUUCUG
Molecule: long non-coding RNA, 535 nt
Filed under: Aquilegia coerulea
Lineage: Eukaryota; Viridiplantae; Streptophyta; Magnoliopsida; Ranunculales; Ranunculaceae
Description: long non-coding RNA (ACOE_LNC000375)
Source: RNAcentral